GAUGAACGCUGGCGGCGUGCCUAAUACAUGCAAGUCGAGCGAACGGACGAGCAGCUUGCUUCCCUGAUGUUACCGGCGGACGGGUGAGUAACACGUGGAUAACCUACCUAUAAGACUGGGAUAACUUCGGGAAACCGGAGCUAAUACCGGAUGAUAUUUUGAACCGCAUGGUUCAAAAGUGAAAGACGGUCUUGCUGUCACUUAUAGAUGGAUCCGCGCUGCAUUAGCUAGUUGGUAAGGUAACGGCUUACCAAGGCAACGAUGCGUAGCCGACCUGAGAGGGUGAUCGGCCACACUGGAACUGAGACACGGUCCAGACUCCUACGGGAGGCAGCAGUAGGGAAUCUUCCGCAAUGGGCGCAAGCCUGACGGAGCAACGCCGCGUGAGUGAUGAAGGUCUUCGGGUCGUAAAACUCUGUUAUUAGGGAAGAACAUAUGUGUAAGUAACUGUGCACAUCUUGACGGUACCUAAUCAGAAAGCCACGGCUAACUACGUG
This 497-nucleotide ribosomal RNA is filed under the name uncultured bacterium. Its description in RNAcentral is "partial 16S ribosomal RNA". It matches the Rfam family "Bacterial small subunit ribosomal RNA", at positions 28 to 507 of the family's 1533-position model. The record is from RNAcentral.